RNAcentral lists this ribosomal RNA (1235 nucleotides) under metagenome. RNAcentral describes it as "bacterial LSU rRNA". It matches the Rfam family "Bacterial large subunit ribosomal RNA", at positions 1564 to 2808 of the family's 2925-position model. The record is from RNAcentral.
UGAAUACGAGACGCUAAGGCGUCGAAGUAGUGUAUGUCAUACUUCCAAGAAAAGGUUGCACUGUCAUAAGUAAAAAAUGCCUGUACCAUAACCGACACAGGUGGGUAGGUAGAGUAUACUAAGGGGCGCGAGAUAACUCUCUCUAAGGAACUCGGCAAAAUAACUCCGUAACUUCGGGAGAAGGAGUACCUUAUUCUAUAAGGUUGCAAUAACAAGAUCCAAGCAACUGUUUAUCAAAAACACAGGUCUCCGCUAAGUCGUAAGACGAUGUAUGGGGGCUGACGCCUGCCCAGUGCCAGAAGGUUAAAGAAGUCGGUUAGCAUUAGCGAAGCUGGUAACUGAAGCCCUGGUGAACGGCGGCCGUAACUACAACGGUCCUAAGGUAGCGAAAUUCCUUGUCGGGUAAAUUCCGACCCGCACGAAAGGCGUAAUGAUUUGGAUACUGUCUCGGAGAGGGGCUCGGUGAAAUAGACUUGUCUGUGAAGAUGCGGACUACCUGCACCAGGACAGAAAGACCCUAUGAAGCUUUACUGUAACUUGAAAUUGAAAUUGGACUUUAUUCGCGCAGUAUAGGUGGGAGGUGUUGAUUAUAAUCUUGCGGGAUUAUUGGAGCCAUCAGUGAGAUACCACUCUUGUAAUGUUAGAUUUCUAACUUUGAAUCAUUAUCUGGUCAAAGGACAGUUUCAGGCGGGCAGUUUGACUGGGGCGGUCGCCUCCCAAACGGUAACGGAGGCGUACAAAGGUUUCCUCUGAACGGGUAGAAAUCGUAUCUAGAGUGUAAAGGCAUAAGGAAGCUUGACUGUGAGACCUACAAGUCGAACAGGGACGAAAGUCGGUCUUAGUGAUCUGACGGUACUGAGUGGAAAGGCCGUCACUCAACGGAUAAAAGUUACUCUAGGAUAACAGGCUGAUCUCCCCCAAGAGUUCACAUCGACGGGGAGGUUUGGCACCUCGAUGUCGGCUCAUCGCAUCCUGGGGCGGUAGUACGUCCCAAGGGUUGGGCUGUUCGCCCAUGAAAGCGGUACGCGAGCUGGGUUCAGAACGUCGUGAGACAGUUCGGUCCAUAUCCGGUGUAGGCGUUAGAAUAUUGAGAGGAGCCUUCUUUAGUACGAGAGGACCGAGAAGGACAUACCUCUGGUGUACCAGUUAUCGUGCCAACGGUAAACGCUGGGUAGCUAUGUAUGGAGUGGAUAACCGCUGAAAGCAUCUAAGUGGGAAGCCCACCUCAAGAUAAG